RNAcentral lists this ribosomal RNA (432 nucleotides) under uncultured bacterium. RNAcentral describes it as "partial 16S ribosomal RNA". It matches the Rfam family "Bacterial small subunit ribosomal RNA", at positions 29 to 507 of the family's 1533-position model. The record is from RNAcentral.
AACGAACGCUGGCGGCAUGCCUAACACAUGCAAGUCGAACGAGACCUUCGGGUCUAGUGGCGCACGGGUGCGUAACGCGUGGUAACCUGCCCUUAGGUUCGGAAUCACUCCCCGUAAGGUGUGCUAAUACCGGUUAAUGUCUUCGGACCAAAGAUGUUUCGCCUUGAAUUGGGGCGCGUUGGGUUAGCGAGGUGGUAGGGGAAAAGCCUACCAAGGCGAGGGUGCAUAGCUGGGUGGGGUACAUGAUCCGCCACACUGGGACUGAGACACGGCCCCGACUCCUACGGGAGGCAGCAGUAGGGAAUAUUGGACGAUGGGCGAUAGCCUGAUACCGCAAUGCCGCGUGAGUGAUGCAGGCCUUAGGGUUGUAAAGCUCUUUUAGCCGGGAUGAUAAUGACAGUAACGGGAGAAUAAGCACCGGCUAACUACGUG